GCCUCGGUGGCGCAGUGGCUAGCGCAGCUGAUUUGUAAUCAGCCGGUCGUCGGUUCGAAUCCGACCCGAGGCUCCA
Molecule: transfer RNA, 76 nt
Filed under: Chloroflexota bacterium
Lineage: Bacteria; Bacillati; Chloroflexota
Description: tRNA-Thr
Rfam family: tRNA
About the family: Transfer RNA (tRNA) molecules are approximately 80 nucleotides in length. Their secondary structure includes four short double-helical elements and three loops (D, anti-codon, and T loops). Further hydrogen bonds mediate the characteristic L-shaped molecular structure. tRNAs have two regions of fundamental functional importance: the anti-codon, which is responsible for specific mRNA codon recognition, and the 3' end, to which the tRNAs corresponding amino acid is attached (by aminoacyl-tRNA synthetases). tRNAs cope with the degeneracy of the genetic code in two manners: having more than one tRNA (with a specific anti-codon) for a particular amino acid; and 'wobble' base-pairing, i.e. permitting non-standard base-pairing at the 3rd anti-codon position.
Source: RNAcentral